RNAcentral lists this ribosomal RNA (497 nucleotides) under uncultured bacterium. Its description in RNAcentral is "partial 16S ribosomal RNA". It matches the Rfam family "Bacterial small subunit ribosomal RNA", at positions 28 to 507 of the family's 1533-position model. The record is from RNAcentral.
GAUGAACGCUGGCGGCGUGCCUAAUACAUGCAAGUCGAGCGAACAGACGAGGAGCUUGCUCCUCUGACGUUAGCGGCGGACGGGUGAGUAACACGUGGAUAACCUACCUAUAAGACUGGGAUAACUUCGGGAAACCGGAGCUAAUACCGGAUAAUAUAUUGAACCGCAUGGUUCAAUAGUGAAAGACGGUUUUGCUGUCACUUAUAGAUGGAUCCGCGCCGCAUUAGCUAGUUGGUAAGGUAACGGCUUACCAAGGCAACGAUGCGUAGCCGACCUGAGCGGGUGGUCGGCCACACUGGAACUGAGACACGGUCCAGACUCCUACGGGAGGCAGCAGUAGGGAAUCUUCCGCAAUGGGCGAAAGCCUGACGGAGCAACGCCGCGUGAGUGAUGAAGGUCUUCGGAUCGUAAAACUCUGUUAUUAGGGAAGAACAAAUGUGUAAGUAACUAUGCACGUCUUGACGGUACCUAAUCAGAAAGCCACGGCUAACUACGUG